This 257-nucleotide ribosomal RNA is filed under the name uncultured prokaryote. RNAcentral describes it as "partial 16S ribosomal RNA". It matches the Rfam family "Bacterial small subunit ribosomal RNA", at positions 524 to 780 of the family's 1533-position model. The record is from RNAcentral.
UACGUAGGGUGCGAGCGUUGUCCGGAAUUAUUGGGCGUAAAGAGCUUGUAGGCGGUUUGUCGCGUCUGCUGUGAAAAUCCGAGGCUCAACCUCGGACUUGCAGUGGGUAAGGGCAGACUAGAGUGUGGUAGGGGAGACUGGAAUUCCUGGUGUAGCGGUGAAAUGCGCAGAUAUCAGGAGGAACACCGAUGGCGAAGGCAGGUCUCUGGGCCACUACUGACGCUGAGAAGCGAAAGCAUGGGUAGCGAACAGGAUUA